RNAcentral lists this ribosomal RNA (591 nucleotides) under Ixodes scapularis (black-legged tick). RNAcentral describes it as "eukaryotic small subunit ribosomal RNA". It matches the Rfam family "Eukaryotic small subunit ribosomal RNA", at positions 1229 to 1467 of the family's 1831-position model. The record is from RNAcentral. Lineage: Eukaryota; Metazoa; Arthropoda; Arachnida; Ixodida; Ixodidae.
UUCUGGGAGGAUUGACAGAUCCAGAGCUCUUUCUUGAUUCUGUGGAUUUCGGUGCAUGUCCGUUCUUAGUUGUUAAAGUGGUUUGUCUGGUUAAUUCCGAUAACAAACGAGACUCUAGUCAAUCAAAUACGUGCGUGGUCCUUUGCACCUUGCACCCUCCUUAGAAGGAGAAGCGGCUCCCAUACUUCGUCUCUCCUUAUUAUAUAUAUAUGGCCUACUGUUAGCCGCGCGUGCUCAAAGCGCGAGCUAGUCGCUUUGAAUGAAGUCACGGCGGCUACACGAGCGCUCGUGCAGCGAGGGCUCUAGUCAAGGCAGUCAAGGCUGGCCGCUCGCGCUAACACAGCCUUCGCGGUUAGUUCAUGCUAGGGUGAGACGAAGUAUUAGCGAUGUGCGGGGCCAAAAGCGUCGCUGUGGUCAGCUUUCCACGAUUGGUCGAACCAUGGGCAUAUGAGCACUGUCAGAUUGUCAACUUUGACGGUGUUAGUUUCGGAUUGCGAUGGCUCCUAGCUUCUACUGUGCUUUUUAAACACACCAUUGAAGUCGUCGUCCUACCCGAUGGUAAGUAGCCAGAAUAACAACUGGUGACGUCAC